UACGGGAGGCAGCAGGGGGAAUAUUGCACAAUGGGCGAAAGCCUGAUGCAGCUAUGCCGCGUGUAUGAAGAAGGCCUUAGGGUUGUAAAGUACUUUCAUCGGGGAGGAAAAAACAAAACUAAUAAUUUUAUUUCUUGACGUUACCCGAAAAAGAAGCACCGGCUAACUCCGUGCCAGCAGCCGCGGUAAUACGGAGGGUGCUAGCGUUAAUCAGAAUUACUGGGCGUAAAGAGCACGUAGGUGGUUUUUUAAAGUCAGAUGUGAAAUCCCUGGGCUUAACCUAGGAACUGCAUUUUGAAACUGAAAUACUAGAGUAUCGUAGAGGGAGGUAGAAUUCUAGGUGUAGCGGUGAAAUGCGUAGAUAUCUGGAGGAAUACCUGUGGCGAAAGCGGCCUCCUAAACGAAUACUGACACUGAGGGUGCGAAAGCGUGGGGAGCAAACAGGGAUUAGAUACC
Molecule: ribosomal RNA, 456 nt
Filed under: uncultured bacterium
Lineage: Bacteria
Description: bacterial SSU rRNA
Rfam family: Bacterial small subunit ribosomal RNA
Source: RNAcentral